UCAGUCAACAGAUGGCGCUGAUACGUAGCGCGCUGCAGCACGACCUCGCGCUGGCGCUGCAGCGCCGCCACGUCGCGCGCCACGACUAACAGGUGGGAGAAAAGAAAUGGAUAAACUCGGGCAAUAUAGAAUUUCUAGAAACAACUUCUUCAACAUCACAAGCAUAUUCAUUGUACCAACGAACUGCAUAACUGACUAUGUAAAACAAGUAUACAAGUUUGUGUGAUUUACACAAUGAUUCCAGCCAGACCCCAAAGUUAAUAUGUACUGGCAAUACUAAAUUCAUAUCUUUUUGGUCAUUUAUUUGCCCAGAAAUCAACAAAAAAAUGAAAGUGCAACGUUUAGGCUGGUUUUAGUGUCAUGCGGACUGUCAGUGCGGAUCGCUUCGCACAGCCGAUCUGUAUGAACUGCUAGGGAGCGGAGCGGUUCCUCCGGACCGCAUUACUCUAAAACGCUCCCUAGAAGUUCAUACAGAUUGGCCGUGCGGAGCGGGUCUGCACCGGACGGUCCGCGUGACACUAAAACCAGCCUUACUGCUAUGUGAUUAAAAUUACAACUCCCUAUUUCGUAUAAAAUGCGACCAUAUGCAUAAAUAUUUGUUCAGAACAUCCUAUAUCAUAGGAACUAAACAGACAGGCCUACUGUAUUUCCAUUUCUCCCAGAAUUGUAUAUGCUUGUGAUUAGUAUAUAGAAAACUUCGAAAACUUAUGAUGACUAUGUAAAAGAAUUAGACAUAGCAAAUUCUAUUGAAGAUUGUAAAAUUAUUUUAGCAUAAGUGUCAAUGCUACCACAGUGGUGCUUUGAAAUAUAGUCCAUUAUAUUUCUGUAUUUUCUUCAAGGAUACAUUAAAAUUGUGUAAAUUGUAAUAUAAAAAUCUAGGUCACCUUUGUCAAAAUUUUACUGUAAUCUCAUUUUUUAUUAUGAUUUCUUGAUUAUUUCGCCCAUGUUGUCCAUCUCAUCAGCGAUUGCAUUUUUAUUGCUUACAUUUAGUAUUCUUUUAUUGUAAAUUAGAUAAUCUUGUAUUUGUAAAUUAAGGAUUAAGUAAGAGAACACUUAUAAAAAUUUAGUAGCUAAUAUUAGUUAUAACAGCAACGAGCCAAUGUUUUAUUAAUGUUGCAAUUAAUUUCAUAAUAACUAUUAUUUUAAAUUGGCCUCUCUAAAUAAAUAAAUAUUUAUCUGUAACAA
Molecule: long non-coding RNA, 1185 nt
Organism: Ostrinia nubilalis (European corn borer)
Lineage: Eukaryota; Metazoa; Arthropoda; Insecta; Lepidoptera; Crambidae
Exons: 2
Source: RefSeq, a predicted model, not a curated record